Molecule: unclassified non-coding RNA, 2285 nt
Filed under: Orussus abietinus
Lineage: Eukaryota; Metazoa; Arthropoda; Insecta; Hymenoptera; Orussidae
Description: actin-binding LIM protein 2, transcript variant X1
Source: RNAcentral
CGUCGCGCGGGGAGGGUCGUCUCUCUUUGGAAUUCCCGUUUUCGAUUUUUUCCCUUCUGCUUUUCUUUUUCAUUCCCGUGAAAGAGACGCUUCCCUUAUGAAGCGUGAUAUCGGCGACACGAGGGCGAGGAAAAUAAAUAGGAAAUAAAAAAGGGAGGGGGGUGACCUCUCGAGAUUUCAAGACUGUCCACUGGGUCACGGGGCUGGGAGUCGUCAGCCCCUCUCUCGAGGGAAGACAUGAGGUCCAAGAGGAACGGCCUCGAGGGCACUUCCGCCCUGAGGAACGGGAAGGAAGGAACGGGAGAGAAGAAGAAGGGGAAGGCUAUCUGCCAGUCUUGCAAGAAGAAGUGCAGCGGCGAGGUGCUGCGAGUGCACAAUAAAUACUUUCACAUAGGCUGCUUCAAGUGCGUCCAGUGCAAUUCGUGCCUGGCGCAGAAUGGAUUUUUCACCCACGAGGGUGCAUACUACUGCCUGAAGGACUACCGCGAACGAUGGGGCACCAAGUGCACCGGUUGCGGGGAGUAUGUCGAGGGUGACAUGGUCACUGCUGGAGGGAAACAUGCAUUUCAUCCCAGCUGCUUUCAUUGUCGGAGAUGUAGACAACCUCUUCUGGGACAAGGGACCAAGGUGACGCUGGUCCAUGGUCAAGUGCUCUGUCAUAAGUGCGUCGGCAUGCCCUCGAGGGAGACGUCCACCCCGGUGGGCAACAGCGCCCCCACCUCGACGGGCGACACCUCGACCGACCCUGGAGCUUGUGCAGGUUGUGGACAACAAUUACGAGAUGGUCAGGCCCUGGUCGCCCUGGACAGACAAUGGCACGUCUGGUGCUUCAAGUGCCACAGCUGCGACACCGUUCUCCAGGGCGAGUACAUGGGAAAAGACGGGGUGCCUUAUUGCGAGAAGGACUACCAGAAGCAGUUCGGGGUGAAGUGCGCCUACUGCAGCCGCUACAUAAGCGGCAAAGUGCUGCAAGCAGGAGACAACCACCACUUCCAUCCCACCUGCGCCAGGUGCACAAAAUGCGGAGACCCCUUCGGGGACGGCGAGGAGAUGUACCUGCAGGGUGCGGCCAUCUGGCACCCUCGUUGCGGCCCAGGGCCUACCGGGUCGAAUGGCAUCGUCAAUGGGCACGGGGAUGCCCACACGCCCCGGCACCGAGAGUCCGAGCGCAUCUCCAGCAGCGCUUCGGAGAUGCAAUUUUCAAUGCGGUCACGCACGCCAAGCCUGAAUGGAUCGCUGGGCAGCCCUUUCAGCAGCCUGAGUCGCAAGUACUACUCUGCAAGAUCCGGCAGUCCUGGACUCACUCUGCGGGAAUAUGGACGGGGUGGAAUCGAGGAUGUCUCCAGGAUUUACACUUACUCUUACCUUACGGAGACGCCAACACAGGGGUAUCUGAAACGUCCUAUUCAGCCUUACGACAAACCGCCGACCAGUCCUCAUUUCCAUAGACCGAGCUCGUCGCGCUCGAUAAGGAGCAGUGGAGGACGCAGCAGCCGGUCAGGAAUGAGAGCCAUGGUGGACUCUUUAAGCGACACGAGGCCGAAAUCCCCGGCAGCGGGGAGCCAGGUCGACAACGACGAGCCUAUCGAAUUGGCACAUUAUCCGGAUGCGAUGAAACCUCCCCCGGGAGCACAGCCUCCGAUCGAGAGGGACGAUUUUCCUGCCCCUCCUUAUCCUUACACCGAUCCCGAACGACGUAGAAGAUGGUCCGGCACAUACAAGGGCGUGUCGACCUCGGACGACGAGGACGUCGUGGAUAAUCAGGCGUAUAUCCAGGAGGCCGAACAGAAGCUGAAAAAGGAGCGAGAUGAGUUGAGCAAGAUCGACACGGGCAUCGCUAAAGUGUUCCUACAGGACCGGGAGAAGGACCGGGAGAACCUGCGACACAAGGCUGCCAACGUCGACCCCAGGAACGCGUCGAGGACGCCAUCUGCCGCUCGAGAGCCGACCUACAGAUUGCGCUACGAAAGCCCAGUCGGUGCUUCGCCCUCCAGGAACAUCGACCACGCGAAGCCCUGGGAGGACGACGACGGCAUCAGCUGCAGGUCGAGCGUAGGGCCGGCCUACAAUGCUGGGAGGUCUUCGGCUCGUUCCCCGGCUCCCAGAAACUAUCCGCCCCUUGGUACUCAACGAGCGUUCACCCUUCCAACCGCCUCUAGGCACUAUCAGUCGUUGUGAGCUCCCUUCGGACCGUCCCAAAACCGGGAUACGGCCUGGCACCGCGAAGUCACACCUUCUCGUCGACCGGCGGUUCGGUUUCUGCUCUCCCCGUUGACUACUCCUUC